UCAAAUAAGCAAUGGAGACAGUCAUUUUCAUUGAUCAACCACUACAGAGCUUGGCCUGGUAUAUGCUAUAGCCCCAAAUGGCAAACAUGGCUAUGCCUCUUUA
Molecule: long non-coding RNA, 103 nt
Organism: Alosa sapidissima (American shad)
Lineage: Eukaryota; Metazoa; Chordata; Actinopteri; Clupeiformes; Clupeidae
Exons: 3
Source: RefSeq, a predicted model, not a curated record